GUGGUGGCUCAGGGGUAGAGUGCUCGCCUAGCAUGCACGGGGCACUGGGUUCCAUCCUCAGCACCACG
Molecule: transfer RNA, 68 nt
Filed under: Marmota monax (woodchuck)
Lineage: Eukaryota; Metazoa; Chordata; Mammalia; Rodentia; Sciuridae
Description: tRNA.Ala
Source: RNAcentral